This 594-nucleotide ribosomal RNA is filed under the name marine metagenome. RNAcentral's name for it is "bacterial SSU rRNA". It matches the Rfam family "Archaeal small subunit ribosomal RNA", at positions 869 to 1467 of the family's 1478-position model. The record is from RNAcentral.
CGGGGGCUUACUACAAGGGGUGCGGCGUGCGGUUUAAUCGGAUUUUACGCCGGGAAUCUCACCAGGAGCGACGGCAGGAUGAAGGUCAGAUUGAAGGUUUUACCUAACGAGCCGAGAGGAGUUGCAUGGCCGCCGUCAGUUCGUGCCGUAAGGUGUUCUGUUAAGUCAGAUAACGAACAAGAUCUACGUCUACAGUUGCCAUUGUCUCGUAAGAGGAACAAGCACACUGUAGAGACUGCCUUGGAAACAAGGAGGAAGGUGUAGGCUACGGUAGGUCAGUAUGGCCCGAAUCUCCUGGGCUACACGCGCGCAACAAUGGUAAGGACAAUGGGAUACAACUCCGAAAGGAGAAGUUAAUCCUCGAAACCUUAUCCUAGUUUAGAUUGAGGGCUGUAAUUCGCCCUCAUGACACCGGAAUCCCUAGUAAUCAGAAUUCAACACGUUCUGGUGAAUACGUCCAUGGGCCUUGCACACACCGCCCAUCAAACCAACCGAGCAGGAUUUGAGUGAGGUUUAGUUUUUGAUUAAAUCGAAUUUGAGUUCAGUAAGGUGGGUUAAGUUGUCACAAGGUAGCCGUAGGGGAACCUGCGGCUG